AGAGUUUGAACCUGGCUCAGGAUGAACGCUGGCGGCGUGCCUAAUACAUGCAAGUCGAACGAGUUCUGAUUAUUGAAAGGUGCUUGCAUCUUGAUUUAAUUUUGAACGAGUGGCGGACGGGUGAGUAACACGUGGGUAACCUGCCCUUAAGUGGGGGAUAACAUUUGGAAACAGAUGCUAAUACCGCAUAAAUCCAAGAACCGCAUGGUUCUUGGCUGAAAGAUGGCGUAAGCUAUCGCUUUUGGAUGGACCCGCGGCGUAUUAGCUAGUUGGUGAGGUAACGGCUCACCAAGGCAAUGAUACGUAGCCGAACUGAGAGGUUGAUCGGCCACAUUGGGACUGAGACACGGCCCAAACUCCUACGGGAGGCAGCAGUAGGGAAUCUUCCACAAUGGACGCAAGUCUGAUGGAGCAACGCCGCGUGAGUGAAGAAGGCUUUCGGGUCGUAAAACUCUGUUGUUGGAGAAGAAUGGUCGGCAGAGUAACUGUUGUCGGCGUGACGGUAUCCAACCAGAAAGCCACGGCUAACUACGUGCCAGCAGCCGCGGUAAUACGUAGGUGGCAAGCGUUAUCCGGAUUUAUUGGGCGUAAAGCGAGCGCAGGCGGUUUUUUAAGUCUGAUGUGAAAGCCCUCGGCUUAACCGAGGAAGUGCAUCGGAAACUGGGAAACUUGAGUGCAGAAGAGGACAGUGGAACUCCAUGUGUAGCGGUGAAAUGCGUAGAUAUAUGGAAGAACACCAGUGGCGAAGGCGGCUGUCUGGUCUGUAACUGACGCUGAGGCUCGAAAGCAUGGGUAGCGAACAGGAUUAGAUACCCUGGUAGUCCAUGCCGUAAACGAUGAAUGCUAGGUGUUGGAGGGUUUCCGCCCUUCAGUGCCGCAGCUAACGCAUUAAGCAUUCCGCCUGGGGAGUACGACCGCAAGGUUGAAACUCAAAGGAAUUGACGGGGGCCCGCACAAGCGGUGGAGCAUGUGGUUUAAUUCGAAGCAACGCGAAGAACCUUACCAGGUCUUGACAUCUUUUGAUCACCUGAGAGAUC
Molecule: ribosomal RNA, 1037 nt
Filed under: Levilactobacillus brevis
Lineage: Bacteria; Bacillati; Bacillota; Bacilli; Lactobacillales; Lactobacillaceae
Description: bacterial SSU rRNA
Rfam family: Bacterial small subunit ribosomal RNA
Source: RNAcentral